Long non-coding RNA from Falco peregrinus (peregrine falcon), 874 nucleotides. RefSeq lists it as uncharacterized. The transcript has 3 exons. The record is from RefSeq and is a predicted model, not a curated record. Lineage: Eukaryota; Metazoa; Chordata; Aves; Falconiformes; Falconidae.
CAGCGCGGCGGUGGCGGCGGGCGGCCGCCUCCCCUCAGCCCCGCGGUGAGCGACACCGAGAGGCUCCUGUGGGGGUAUAUUCAUAUAUUGGCCGAGUCCUGACUUACUGGGUGGAACAACCGCAUUGUUAUUAGUCAUAAAAUUUGAGAAAGACGUUUCGAGACGGAAGAUGUUCAGUGAAAGGCUGACAGUUCGCCAAAAAACCAACGAAGAGGCGAGGCCUGGGCUGAGGGAGGCGUGAGGUGCCAGCAGCCCGCCCGGGGGGACGGCGGCCCCCCGCCCACACAAGGCUGCUGAAGGGAGUUCCUGCCCUGAUCUGACUAAAAAUAGGCUUCAGGAAAAUCUCGUACCGUACUUACUGCUUGCCGUAUCUCAUAGUCCCUCAAAUCUGAGGACCACUACUACAACAGCUUUCCGACUUCUUACAAAGCAACAAACGUGAACUACAGCAAAUCGAUGGAGACUCUUGUACUCGCAUUUGUAUCAUGCUCAUCAGGAAAAUUCAGCUGCAGGUGUACCUCUCCAUCACAGUCUGAACCCUUACUCUGCCAUCUGCAAGUGGAACCUUGAGACAGGCAAGUUCUAAUUUUAAAAUAAACUUUCUAUAGGACUCCUUCCAACCUGUGUUGUUGCCAGUCACCUCCCUAGCAUUGUUACCUUUUCCAGAUCUCCCAUGCUGGUUUUGUCUUCCAAGUCUGCUCAUCACAACACCCAGGACUAACCAGUAUUUCACAUCCCACCCCCUGGCUGUAUCAUUUUUCUCUUUUAAGUUUACUCUUCUGCACGGCCUCCAGCUUGCCUUUAUUCACAUCAAUACUAAGUUCCAUGAGGAGGACAGAAAGAUGACCAGGGAAAACACCUAGACUGGGAGAGA